This 541-nucleotide ribosomal RNA is filed under the name uncultured bacterium. RNAcentral's name for it is "bacterial SSU rRNA". It matches the Rfam family "Bacterial small subunit ribosomal RNA", at positions 777 to 1329 of the family's 1533-position model. The record is from RNAcentral.
AAUAGAUACCCCGGUAGUCCUAGCCGUAAACGAUGAACACUAGGCGUAGUCGGUAUCGACCCCGGCUGUGCCGUAGCUAACGCAUUAAGUGUUCCGCCUAGGGAGUACGGCCGCAAGGCUAAAACUCAAAGGAAUUGACGGGGGGCCCGCACAAGCAGCGGAGCGUGUGGUUUAAUUCGUCGCAACGCGAAGAACCUUACCAGGGCUUGACAUGUGGCGGAAAACGGCGGAAACGUCGUCCUCCCGCAAGGGACCGUCAUGCAGGUGUUGCAUGGCUGUCGUCAGCUCGUGUCGUGAGAUGUUGGGUUAAGUCCCGCAACGAGCGCAACCCCCGUGGCAUGUUGUAUCUCUCAUGCCAGACUGCCGAGAGAAACUCGGAGGAAGGUGGGGAUGACGCCAAGUCAGCAUGGCCCUUACGUCCUGGGCUACACACACGCUACAAUGGCCGGUACAACGGGUUGCCAAACCGCGAGGUGGAGCUAACCCCUUAAAGCCGGUCUCAGUUCGGAUUGCAGGCUGCAACUCGCCUGCAUGAAGCCGG